CCUAAGUACAAUCCUGGAGGAAAAUCCCCCUUGCUUGAUGACAAUUCCGAUUUUGCUUUGUGGAGAGUUGGUAUGCAGGAUCAUCUUAGGUACGCCAAUGAUGAGAUGUUGGACAUCCUCGAGCAUGGGUACAAUCCUGUAGAUCCAAGGUGCCUCACUCCCAAAGAAACUUAUGACAAGCAUCUCAAUGACACUGCGAUCAUGUGCAUAAGAAAAGGAAUGAAUGACAAGCAACGGAGACCU
This 243-nucleotide long non-coding RNA is filed under the name Hordeum vulgare. Its description in RNAcentral is "long non-coding RNA (HVUL_LNC018630)". Lineage: Eukaryota; Viridiplantae; Streptophyta; Magnoliopsida; Poales; Poaceae. The record is from RNAcentral.